RNAcentral lists this ribosomal RNA (601 nucleotides) under Vibrio cholerae. RNAcentral's name for it is "partial 23S ribosomal RNA". It matches the Rfam family "Bacterial large subunit ribosomal RNA", at positions 439 to 1042 of the family's 2925-position model. The record is from RNAcentral. Lineage: Bacteria; Pseudomonadati; Pseudomonadota; Gammaproteobacteria; Vibrionales; Vibrionaceae.
UGAAUAUGGGGGGACCAUCCUCCAAGGCUAAAUACUCCUGACUGACCGAUAGUGAACCAGUACCGUGAGGGAAAGGCGAAAAGAACCCCUGUGAGGGGAGUGAAAUAGAACCUGAAACCGUGUACGUACAAGCAGUAGGAGCACCUUCGUGGUGUGACUGCGUACCUUUUGUAUAAUGGGUCAGCGACUUAUAUUCAGUGGCAAGGUUAACCGUAUAGGGGAGCCGUAGCGAAAGCGAGUCUUAACUGGGCGCUCAGUCUCUGGAUAUAGACCCGAAACCGGGUGAUCUAGCCAUGGGCAGGUUGAAGGUUGAGUAACAUCAACUGGAGGACCGAACCGACUAAUGUUGAAAAAUUAGCGGAUGACUUGUGGCUAGGGGUGAAAGGCCAAUCAAACUCGGAGAUAGCUGGUUCUCCCCGAAAGCUAUUUAGGUAGCGCCUCGGACGAAUACUACUGGGGGUAGAGCACUGUUAAGGCUAGGGGGUCAUCCCGACUUACCAACCCUUUGCAAACUCCGAAUACCAGUAAGUACUAUCCGGGAGACACACGGCGGGUGCUAACGUCCGUCGUGGAGAGGGAAACAACCCAGACCGCCAGCUAA